This 541-nucleotide ribosomal RNA is filed under the name uncultured bacterium. RNAcentral describes it as "bacterial SSU rRNA". It matches the Rfam family "Bacterial small subunit ribosomal RNA", at positions 120 to 674 of the family's 1533-position model. The record is from RNAcentral.
AACAAUCUGUCCUUACAUUCCGGAUAAUUGGCCGAAAGGCCUUGUAAUACGGGGGAGGGUCAUGACAGGGCAUCCUGUUAUGAAGGAAGGCGCAAGCCGUGCAAGGAGGAGUUCGCGGACUAUCAGGUAGUUGGUGGGGUAAUGGCCUACCAAGCCUACGACGGGUAGCUGGUCUGAGAGGAUGGUCAGCCACAUUGGAACUGAGACACUGUCCAGACUCCUACGGGAGGCUGCAGUCGAGAAUCUUGGGCAAUGCACGAAAGUGUGACCCAGCGACGCCGCGUGGAGGAUGAAGGCCCUUGGGUUGUAAACUCCUUUUAUGGGUGAAGAACACAAUGACAUUAGCCCAUGAAUAAGCCACGGCUAACUACGUGCCAGCAGCCGCGGUAAUACGUAGGUGGCAAGCGUUGUCCGGAUUUACUGGGCGUAAAGCGUGCGCAGGCGGACUUUUAAGUAGGAAGUGAAAGGUUGGAGCUCAACUCCAACACUGCUCCCUAUACUGGAAGUCUUGAGUAGCGGAGAGGAAAGCGGAACGACACGU